UGUCAAGGGAUGGGAAUCCAACCCACGACCUUCCGCUUACCGGGCAGAUGCCAUGACCACUAGGCUACCCUGGAC
Cordylochernes scorpioides is the source of this 75-nucleotide non-coding RNA. The record is from the annotation of a GenBank genome assembly. NCBI's taxonomy places the organism in Eukaryota, Metazoa, Arthropoda, Arachnida, Pseudoscorpiones, Chernetidae.